AGAGUUUGAUCCUGGCUCAGGACGAACGCUGGCGGCAUGCCUAACACAUGCAAGUCGAACGGAGUUGUUAUUCAGAAGUUCUUCGGGAUGGAAGGAUAAGAACUUAGUGGCGGACGGGUGAGUAACGCGUGGGUAACCUGCCCUUUUGUGGGGAACAACUUCGAGAAAUCGGAGCUAAUACCGCAUAAUAAUAGAGGAUCGCAUGAUUCUUUAAGGAAAGAUGGCCUCUGAAGAUGCUAUCGCAAAAGGAUGGACCCGCGUCUGAUUAGCUAGUUGGAAGGGUAACGGCCUACCAAGGCAACGAUCAGUAGCCGGCCUGAGAGGGUGAACGGCCACAUUGGGACUGAGACACGGCCCAAACUCCUACGGGAGGCAGCAGUGGGGAAUCUUCCGCAAUGGGCGAAAGCCUAACGGAGCAAUGCCGCGUGAGUGAAGAAGGCCUUCGGGUUGUAAAACUCUGUCCUUAUCGAAGAGAGGUAGGUAUGUGAAUAAUGUACCUAUAGAACGGUAGAUAAGGAGGAAGCCCCGGCUAACUACGUGCCAGCAGCCGCGGUAAUACGUAGGGGGCGAGCGUUGUCCGGAAUCACUGGGCGUAAAGGGCGCGUAGGCGGUUUAAUAAGUCAGUGGUGAAAACUGAGGGCUCAACCCUCAGCCUGCCACUGAUACUGUUAGACUUGAGUAUGGAAGAGGAGAAUGGAAUUCCUAGUGUAGCGGUGAAAUGCGUAGAUAUUAGGAGGAACACCAGUGGCGAAGGCGAUUCUCUGGGCCAAGACUGACGCUGAGGCGCGAAAGCGUGGGGAGCAAACAGGAUUAGAUACCCUGGUAGUCCACGCCGUAAACGAUGGAUACUAAGUGUUAGUAGUUUCGAUGCUACUAGUGCCGGAGUAAACACAAUAAGUAUCCCGCCUGGGGAGGUGCGGUCGCAAGACUGAAACUCAAAGGAAUAGACGGGGGCCCGCACAAGCGGUGGAGCAUGUGGUUUAAUUAGACGCAACGUGAAGAACCUUACCAAGACUUGACAUCCUCCUGACAAGAUAUGUAAUGUAUCUCUUUUCUUCGGAGACAGGAGAGACAGGUGGUGCAUGGUUGUCGUCAGCUCGUGUCGUGAGAUGUUGGGUUAAGUCCCGCAACGAGCGCAACCCUUAUUUCUAGUUGCCAGCAGUAAGAUGGGGACUCUAGAGAGACUGCCAGUGACAAACUGGAGGAAGGUGGGGAUGACGUCAAAUCAUCAUGCCCCUUAUGUCUUGGGCUACACACGUGCUACAAUGGUCAGAACAGAGGGAAGCGAAGCCGCGAGGUGGAGCAAAUCCCAGAAAACUGAUCUCAGUUCGGAUUGCAGGCUGCAACCCGCAAGCAUGAAGUCGGAAUCGCUAGUAAUCGCGGGUCAGCAUACCGCGGUGAAUACGUUCCCGGG
RNAcentral lists this ribosomal RNA (1414 nucleotides) under uncultured bacterium. RNAcentral's name for it is "16S ribosomal RNA". It matches the Rfam family "Bacterial small subunit ribosomal RNA", at positions 8 to 1378 of the family's 1533-position model. The record is from RNAcentral.